This 114-nucleotide ribosomal RNA is filed under the name Notamacropus eugenii (tammar wallaby). The record is from RNAcentral. Lineage: Eukaryota; Metazoa; Chordata; Mammalia; Diprotodontia; Macropodidae.
AUCUAUGGCCAUACCAUCCUGAAUAUGCCCAGUCUCUUCUGAUCUCAGAAGCUAAGCGGGGUCAGGUGAGUACUUGGAUGGAAGACUACCUGGGAAUACCAGGUGCUGUAAUAU